GAUGAACGCUGGCGGCGUGCUUAACACAUGCAAGUCGAGCGAAGCACUUAGGAAAGAUUCUUCGGAUGAUUUCCUAUUUGACUGAGCGGCGGACGGGUGAGUAACGCGUGGGUAACCUGCCUCAUACAGGGGGAUAACAGUUAGAAAUGACUGCUAAUACCGCAUAAGACCACAGCACCGCAUGGUGCAGGGGUAAAAACUCCGGUGGUAUGAGAUGGACCCGCGUCUGAUUAGUUAGUUGGUGGGGUAACGGCCUACCAAGGCGACGAUCAGUAGCCGACCUGAGAGGGUGACCGGCCACAUUGGGACUGAGACACGGCCCAAACUCCUACGGGAGGCAGCAGUGGGGAAUAUUGCACAAUGGGGGAAACCCUGAUGCAGCGACGCCGCGUGAGCGAAGAAGUAUUUCGGUAUGUAAAGCUCUAUCAGCAGGGAAGAAA
Molecule: ribosomal RNA, 440 nt
Filed under: uncultured bacterium
Lineage: Bacteria
Description: bacterial SSU rRNA
Rfam family: Bacterial small subunit ribosomal RNA
Source: RNAcentral